RNAcentral lists this long non-coding RNA (516 nucleotides) under Gossypium barbadense (sea-island cotton). RNAcentral's name for it is "long non-coding RNA (GBAR_LNC010148)". Lineage: Eukaryota; Viridiplantae; Streptophyta; Magnoliopsida; Malvales; Malvaceae. The record is from RNAcentral.
UGUCGCUUAAGACAUCAAAUCUUAAACCACGGUAGUGCUAUUGUCCUUACCUUCAUUCCGCAAUUCUAAUGGACGAUUUUUCCUUCUCUAUCUUCGCUUAACAAUCAUCUAAUGACCAAAAUCUUCCAUUUCUACCUGCCUCUGUAACCCCGACGUUUGCUCAGAUUUCUGACUUCUCUCCAUCUUCGCUGUAUUUUUAUGUUCCUAUUUAUGAGAACAAUUUUCACAAGUAUGCCCUCACCGCCCACAUUCAAAACAUACUAGAGGUAAGGAUUCAUAUCUACCUGUUGUGAUCUACCAUCUAUUUUAACUUUUAAAACUAGUAGUUUCCCCAAUUCCACAUACACCACAAGCUUCACAAAUUGACCUCUUGAAUUGUUCUCAGUGUUCUGGUCAAUUUUAGCCAUUGGUUUUAUAGCACCGUAAAUGAACCUUAAUAGACUUUUGGCGUACAUUCCUUUAGGUAAUCCCGAUAGUCGAAUCCAAACUAAAAGGCUAUGAGGCAGAGCUUGAUUA